UCUGUACACGUCGGACGGAAGACGAUUUCAAACUACCCCGCCGUCUCUUGAAUCGAGGAAGAAGGGGGAGAGUGCGGAGAGCGUCUUGCUUUGCCCUCGACGACUCCGUCCGAGCUCGAUGGUGAUGCUCCGCGUGGGUGCCCUUGGCCGCGACCUUCCUGCUCCCCUCCGUCCUCUCUGCCGCCGGGCAACCGAUCCCGCCUUCUCUCGAUUCUCUCGUCGUAAAUCGCCAGAUCUUGAUGAGCGUGGAACUACACGUAGCCGUUGAUCGAUUGAGGAAAUCGGGACUGUUGAGGUCCCAGGGGUUUGUCGGCGGCAAGUGGAUCGAUGCCUACGACGGCAUGACCCUUCAGGUGUGAACAUUGAGGGCGGUCCAUGUGGUAAUUUAAUCGAAAUACAGUCAGGGAAUUGGCCAUUACCAAAAAACCAAGAACCAUGUUGGAAUCUGGAAAGAAAAUCUCACGACCAAACUCAUCUUGUUUCUGAUUCUUGAAGGUACAAAAUCCUGCUACUGGUGAUGUUAUCACUAGUGUUCCAUGCAUGGGCAAGGAUGAGCUUAGAGCAAAUUCACUGCAAGUGACAGGAGCAAGUUUCUGAGGAAAUGGUAAAGAUUAUAUGAUGAUCUACAAUGAGAUUUCAUAUAUCGUAGAUGUUCUAUUGUUGUAAAGGUUUGCAUCUUGAUGCUUUAUAAUUAAUAACAGAUACAAGUGAAACCUAAAGAUGGAUAUACUGUCAAGCAAGGGAACUUGUAGUAUUGAUCAGUAACAGGGCAAUCUCGACUAUUGUCGAUCUGUACUGAUCAGUAAUCAACUAGUAUAUUGUUUUGACGAUCAAAGUACAUUAUUUCGACCGUCAAAUUUGAUCGAAAUUUUACCAUUGGGUUUUCCCUUAGGUUAAUUCAAGCCCCAUUCUGUAGCAUCUCCUCUUUCUCACUGUCGUUCUCUUGAUUUUUUUUAAAUCUAAAUAUGGUCCGAGCUUGUGACCAUAUUUGUCUCGGUUGGAAGAAAACCUAAGUGGCUUCUCGUUCGAUUGUUCCUCCUACUAUUGCUCUCUUUAUCCUCAUGGUAGGGAUUGGUUGUUUUAUGGUAAGCUUUUGGUUGUGUUUCUUCUUCUCGAAUUAAUGUUUUCAGAUAUGAUGGAACAUAGAAGAUGGAAGAAAAUAUAGAAGAGCCAACAUCAACGAGUACUUUCCAAAUUUGCUCGUUGGAUUGCUACAAGUAUAUAAUGGGCCAUCUUCGUUCAUCCUGUAAAUAUUCCACACAACUAUGGCCUUAGACACUGCUACGGAAGCACGUCCUCCGGCUUGGUUCUUUCGGUUGCCGGUGUCCAUAGCGAAAUCGACAACAAAGUGUUCUUCUUGUAUUAAUUAUGCCUUUUCCAGAGUGGCAUCAUUGAGUUUGUCGGGAUACGUAGGGUCUGGCGGGUUACCCUCGACUCUUGCGCUCGCUAAAGAGUUCUAAAGCUUGAAAUUAGUUAGUGUGUUGUGAACUUGGUACUGGUUCGUUUUCAUUAUCAUAUAUAUAAUUUGUUUUGGU
Musa acuminata subsp. malaccensis (wild Malaysian banana) is the source of this 1535-nucleotide non-coding RNA. NCBI's taxonomy places the organism in Eukaryota, Viridiplantae, Streptophyta, Magnoliopsida, Zingiberales, Musaceae. The record is from RefSeq and is a predicted model, not a curated record.